RNAcentral lists this long non-coding RNA (208 nucleotides) under Phoenix dactylifera (date palm). Its description in RNAcentral is "long non-coding RNA (PDAC_LNC006697)". Lineage: Eukaryota; Viridiplantae; Streptophyta; Magnoliopsida; Arecales; Arecaceae. The record is from RNAcentral.
UAUGAGAACAUCAUCUCAUGACAAAUGAUCCCACCAUGACCACCAUUCUCGCCAUCCCUCCAAGCUAGUCUGUGUUUUUCCUCAACGACCAUUGUCUUGCCUUCUAUCUCUUCUUCCUUUCCCCAUCCUUGUGCUUCCCAACCCAUCUUUCCACCAUUCCUCAGCUAUGCGGUCCCCCAUCUCUAACCCCUUCCAUCUUCCCCCCCUC